UGUCUUCAGACACACCAGAAGAGGGCAUCGGA
RNAcentral lists this non-coding RNA (32 nucleotides) under Rattus norvegicus (Norway rat). Lineage: Eukaryota; Metazoa; Chordata; Mammalia; Rodentia; Muridae. The record is from RNAcentral.